GACGAACGCUGGCGGCGUGCCUAAUACAUGCGAGUAGAACGCUGAAGGAGGAGCUUGCUUCUCUGGAUGAGUUGCGAACGGGUGAGUAACGCGUAGGUAACCUGCCUGGUAGCGGGGGAUAACUAUUGGAAACGAUAGCUAAUACCGCAUAAAAGUAGAUGUUGAAUGACAUUUGCUUAAAAGGUGCAAUUGCAUACCUACCAGAUGGACCUGCGUUGUAUUAGCUAGUGGGUGGGGUAACGGCUCACCAAGGCGACGAUACAUAGCCGACCUGAGAGGGUGAUCGGCCACACUGGGACUGAGACACGGCCCAGACUCCUACGGGAGGCAGCAGUAGGGAAUCUUCGGCAAUGGACGGAAGUCUGACCGAGCAACGCCGCGUGAGUGAAGAAGGUUUUCGGAUCGUAAAGCUCUGUUGUAAGAGAAGAACGAGUGUGAGAGUGGAAAGUUCACACUGUGACGGUAUCUUACCAGAAAGGGACGGCUAACUACGUG
Molecule: ribosomal RNA, 495 nt
Filed under: uncultured bacterium
Lineage: Bacteria
Description: partial 16S ribosomal RNA
Rfam family: Bacterial small subunit ribosomal RNA
Source: RNAcentral